CUACUACUCCCUCCGUCCUAAAAUUCUCGUCUUAGAUUCGUCUAGAUACGGAUGUAUCUAAUACUAAAAUGUGACUUGAUACAUCCGUACUUAGACAAAUCUAAGACAAGAAUUUUGGGACAGAGGGAUUACAGU
Triticum urartu is the source of this 135-nucleotide non-coding RNA. NCBI's taxonomy places the organism in Eukaryota, Viridiplantae, Streptophyta, Magnoliopsida, Poales, Poaceae. The record is from Rfam.